This 256-nucleotide ribosomal RNA is filed under the name uncultured bacterium. RNAcentral describes it as "partial 16S ribosomal RNA". It matches the Rfam family "Bacterial small subunit ribosomal RNA", at positions 99 to 354 of the family's 1533-position model. The record is from RNAcentral.
CGGACGGGUGAGUAACACGUAGAGAACCUACCUUACACAGGGGGACAACGGCUGGAAACGGCUGCUAAUACCGCAUAAGCACCCAGUUUCGCAUGAAACAGAGUGAAAAGAGUAAAUCGGUGUAAGAUGGCUCUGCGUCUGAUUAGCUAGUUGGUGGGGUAAAGGCUCACCAAGGCGACGAUCAGUAGCCGGCCUGAGAGGGUGGACGGCCACAUUGGGACUGAGACACGGCCCAAACUCCUACGGAAGGCAGCAG